This 782-nucleotide ribosomal RNA is filed under the name Salmonella enterica subsp. enterica serovar Senftenberg. RNAcentral's name for it is "partial 23S ribosomal RNA". It matches the Rfam family "Bacterial large subunit ribosomal RNA", at positions 1 to 816 of the family's 2925-position model. The record is from RNAcentral. Lineage: Bacteria; Pseudomonadati; Pseudomonadota; Gammaproteobacteria; Enterobacterales; Enterobacteriaceae.
GGGUUGUGAGGUUAAGCGACUAAGCGUACACGGUGGAUGCCCUGGCAGUCAGAGGCGAUGAAGGACGUGCUAAUCUGCGAUAAGCGCCGGUAAGGUGAUAUGAACCGUUAUAACCGGCGAUUUCCGAAUGGGGAAACCCAGUGUGAUUCGUCACACUAUCAUUAACUGAAUCCAUAGGUUAAUGAGGCGAACCGGGGGAACUGAAACAUCUAAGUACCCCGAGGAAAAGAAAUCAACCGAGAUUCCCCCAGUAGCGGCGAGCGAACGGGGAGGAGCCCAGAGCCUGAAUCAGCAUGUGUGUUAGUGGAAGCGUCUGGAAAGGCGCGCGAUACAGGGUGACAGCCCCGUACACAAAAGCGCAUGUGCUGUGAGCUCGAUGAGUAGGGCGGGACACGUGGUAUCCUGUCUGAAUAUGGGGGGACCAUCCUCCAAGGCUAAAUACUCCUGACUGACCGAUAGUGAACCAGUACCGUGAGGGAAAGGCGAAAAGAACCCCGGCGAGGGGAGUGAAAAAGAACCUGAAACCGUGUACGUACAAGCAGUGGGAGCACCCUUUGGGGUGUGACUGCGUACCUUUUGUAUAAUGGGUCAGCGACUUAUAUUCUGUAGCAAGGUUAACCGAAUAGGGGAGCCGGAGGGAAACCGAGUCUUAAUUGGGCGUUAAGUUGCAGGGUAUAGACCCGAAACCCGGUGAUCUAGCCAUGGGCAGGUUGAAGGUUGGGUAACACUAACUGGAGGACCGAACCGACUAAUGUUGAAAAAUUAGCGGAUGAUCUGUGGCU